AACUUUCAACAACGGAUCUCUUGGUUCUGGCAUCGAUGAAGAACGCAGCGAAAUGCGAUAAGUAAUGUGAAUUGCAGAAUUUAGUGAAUCAUCGAAUCUUUGAACGCACAUUGCGCCCUUUGGUAUUCCGAGGGGCAUGCCUGUUCGAGCGUCAU
This 155-nucleotide ribosomal RNA is filed under the name Thaxteriellopsis lignicola. RNAcentral's name for it is "5.8S ribosomal RNA". It matches the Rfam family "5.8S ribosomal RNA". From Rfam's summary of the family: 5.8S ribosomal RNA (5.8S rRNA) is a component of the large subunit of the eukaryotic ribosome. It is transcribed by RNA polymerase I as part of the 45S precursor that also contains 18S and 28S rRNA. The record is from RNAcentral. Lineage: Eukaryota; Fungi; Ascomycota; Dothideomycetes; Tubeufiales; Tubeufiaceae.